This 228-nucleotide ribosomal RNA is filed under the name uncultured bacterium. Its description in RNAcentral is "partial 16S ribosomal RNA". It matches the Rfam family "Bacterial small subunit ribosomal RNA", at positions 116 to 334 of the family's 1533-position model. The record is from RNAcentral.
CGUGAGCAACCUACCGAACUGUGGGGGAUAGCCGGCCUAACGGCCGGGUAAUACCGCAUACGAUUGCUCUGGGGCAUCCUGGGGCAAGGAAAGCUGGGGGCAACCCUGGCGCAGGACGAGGGGCUCGCGGCCUAUCAGCUAGUUGGCGGGGUAAUGGCCCACCAAGGCAGUGACGGGUAGCUGGUCUGAGAGGAUGGCCAGCCACAUUGGGACUGAGAGACGGCCCAG